UACGUAGGGUGCAAGCGUUAAUCGGAAUUACUGGGCGUAAAGCGUGCGCAGGCGGUUUUGUAAGUCUGUCGUGAAAUCCCCGGGCUUAACCUGGGAAUGGCGAUGGAGACUGCAAGGCUGGAGUUUGGCAGAGGGGGGUAGAAUUCCACGUGUAGCAGUGAAAUGCGUAGAGAUGUGGAGGAACACCGAUGGCGAAGGCAGCCCCCUGGGUCAAAACUGACGCUCAUGCACGAAAGCGUGGGGAGCGAACAGG
This 253-nucleotide ribosomal RNA is filed under the name uncultured bacterium. RNAcentral describes it as "partial 16S ribosomal RNA". It matches the Rfam family "Bacterial small subunit ribosomal RNA", at positions 524 to 776 of the family's 1533-position model. The record is from RNAcentral.